Astatotilapia calliptera (eastern happy) is the source of this 367-nucleotide long non-coding RNA. NCBI's taxonomy places the organism in Eukaryota, Metazoa, Chordata, Actinopteri, Cichliformes, Cichlidae. The record is from Ensembl.
AAAAAUGUUCUGUUUUUUUUCCCUCUGCUUGCUUCUUACUGUCUUUGAGGCUCGGGACCAGCACUCCUGCUGUUGGACAGAAAGACAUCAACUCAGUGACUUGAGAUAUGACUGCACUAUGCUGUUGCUGGUGACUCCAGUUAAUUCUACAAGACAUGCUGUGACAACAGGAGAGAUGAGUUCUCCGUCACAGAUGGUGUGGUCAGUGAAGAUGGUCGCCUGCAGGUUCAAGCUCAUUGCAUCUCCAACCCACAUCCACUGCCACUGUACUUAAGGGAAGUUAAAGACUUUCUUCUGCACCUACAUUUGGAUCACCUCGAUCCAUGACAGUCAUUCAGGCAGUAAUGCCUGGACUGGAAACAAGCCA